Molecule: ribosomal RNA, 700 nt
Filed under: uncultured bacterium
Lineage: Bacteria
Description: bacterial SSU rRNA
Rfam family: Bacterial small subunit ribosomal RNA
Source: RNAcentral
UGCAGUCGAGCGGGCGUAGCAAUACGUCAGCGGCAGACGGGUGAGUAACGCGUGGGAACGUACCUUUUGGUUCGGAACAACACAGGGAAACUUGUGCUAAUACCGGAUAAGCCCUUACGGGGAAAGAUUUAUCGCCGAAAGAUCGGCCCGCGUCUGAUUAGCUAGUUGGUAGGGUAAUGGCCUACCAAGGCGACGAUCAGUAGCUGGUCUGAGAGGAUGAUCAGCCACAUUGGGACUGAGACACGGCCCAAACUCCUACGGGAGGCAGCAGUGGGGAAUAUUGGACAAUGGGGGCAACCCUGAUCCAGCCAUGCCGCGUGAGUGAUGAAGGCCCUAGGGUUGUAAAGCUCUUUUGUGCGGGAAGAUAAUGACGGUACCGCAAGAAUAAGCCCCGGCUAACUUCGUGCCAGCAGCCGCGGUAAUACGAAGGGGGCUAGCGUUGCUCGGAAUCACUGGGCGUAAAGGGUGCGUAGGCGGGUCUUUAAGUCAGGGGUGAAAUCCUGGAGCUCAACUCCAGAACUGCCUUUGAUACUGAAGAUCUUGAGUUCGGGAGAGGUGAGUGGAACUGCGAGUGUAGAGGUGAAAUUCGUAGAUAUUCGCAAGAACACCAGUGGCGAAGGCGGCUCACUGGCCCGAUACUGACGCUGAGGCACGAAAGCGUGGGGAGCAAACAGGAUUAGAUACCCUGGUAGUCCACGCC